AGAUUGGACGCUGGCGGCAUGCCUAACACAUGCAAGUCGAACGGGAGUAGCAAUACUCUAGUGGCGGACGGGUGAGGAAUACGUAGGAAUUUGCCCUUAAGUGGGGGAUAACCCGGGGAAACCCGGAUUAAUACCGCAUGACCUCGAAAGAGCAAAGUGGGGGAUCGCAAGACCUCACGCUUUUGGAGAAGCCUACGUCGGAUUAGCUAGUUGGUGAGGUAAUGGCUCACCAAGGCGACGAUCCGUAACUGGUCUGAGAGGAUGAUCAGUCACACCGGAACUGAGACACGGUCCGGACUCCUACGGGAGGCAGCGAGGUGGGGAAUACGUUGGACAAGUGGGCGCAAGGCCCUUAGGACUCCGAGGCCAAUCGGCCGCGUGUGUGGAAGAACGGCCGUUCGGUUAGUAAGUCUACGUUUAAGUUA
This 425-nucleotide ribosomal RNA is filed under the name uncultured soil bacterium. Its description in RNAcentral is "bacterial SSU rRNA". It matches the Rfam family "Bacterial small subunit ribosomal RNA", at positions 26 to 443 of the family's 1533-position model. The record is from RNAcentral.